This is a long non-coding RNA of Gavialis gangeticus (Gharial), 146 nucleotides long. RefSeq lists it as uncharacterized. The record is from RefSeq and is a predicted model, not a curated record. NCBI's taxonomy places the organism in Eukaryota, Metazoa, Chordata, Crocodylia, Gavialidae. The transcript is spliced from 3 exons.
CCCUCAGGGCUGCUGUCCUUCGCAUGGCUGCUGCCCCCUCCUCCUGGGCACUCUUAACUUACAUAGCCCCCGUGACCUCAUUCACUUAGUCCAGUGGAGGCCAGCUCUGGUUAGCUGUUGGCCAACCAAUUUGAAAUACAUCACUA